RNAcentral lists this long non-coding RNA (447 nucleotides) under Mus musculus (house mouse). RNAcentral's name for it is "long non-coding RNA chr4:116852663-116853110". Lineage: Eukaryota; Metazoa; Chordata; Mammalia; Rodentia; Muridae. The record is from RNAcentral.
AGGAUUAUCUACUGGGACCUUAUCAGCCACAACAAGUUGUUCUCUGAUAUCUACCAGAUCCAGGAGACAGAGGAUGGACUAUGCCUGGAGGGAAGAGGUCAAGACGGUCAGUAGAGCAGAGGGUAACACUGAUACCCAUCAUUGGUGGAACUCCUUCCUGUACAGGUGGAGAGCGAAGGUUCCGGAAUCACAGAAGCCAAUGGGUUGAUGCUGUAGUGAACCACCACCACUUAGGAGAAAAUGGAGACACAAAAGUACAUCAUAGAUGACAUGAAAUAACUCAAAGGCAAACUUGAAGAAAAAAACCCAGCAAAAGCAAAGCCAUGAAAGCAGGACUCCAGGUAGCAUGGUGUUCUCCUGGACUACCAUGGAGAUGGUGUGACUCCAUUUAUGCUUUCUUUAAAGGGUGGUUUAGAGAUGGAAAAAUGUUAACAAAUUGGGCAAUUA